AGUCUUUGCAGGCCGUCAAGAUAGAGAUUUCCGCACUUUGGUUCCAGAAGAGGGCGAGUCCUCCACCUCCUGGGCUGUGAGGUGGUACCAAGUGGUGAUCAUAGGUACUGAGAUUGGAUUCCCCAGCCCACAACAGUUCCAGCUCACAAGCGUUAAGGAACCGGACCUUGCGGAUGGUGAAAAUCCGCCUUGUCCUUGGAGAUUUCCGGAAUGAUGACGCUUCUUGGUUGGUUGGCUGGUCGACUUGGUCCCGAGUUCGUAGGGUGUUGUGCCUUAGGACUCGUAGGAGUUGCAUUCAGCGGAGUCUGUGUGGGUCUGUUCUGCUUAUCUAUACUCCUUGAUGGUCCUGCAGUUAUCCUUCUUCUGGGAGAUUGUUGUAUCUGGUUCGAUUGGUUCAGACUCUUGGGAGCUGUUGAUUUGCAGACUUUUUGGAGGGGAUCGGGCCGACUCCUCAAUUUCGCUCCUUACUCUCAAGGUUUCUUCUCCUACUCUAGGAACUCCAGUGGUGAUGGUCUGGUGUGUUUGAUGCCUCGGUAAUGAGGCUGCUGCGAUGAUUUGAGCUGUU
This is a long non-coding RNA of Eutrema salsugineum, 565 nucleotides long. RefSeq lists it as uncharacterized. Lineage: Eukaryota; Viridiplantae; Streptophyta; Magnoliopsida; Brassicales; Brassicaceae. The transcript has 3 exons. The record is from RefSeq and is a predicted model, not a curated record.